AUGAUUAGCAUGUCUAAACAUCAUACAAAAAAUGUACUACACAAAUUUUUAAACCUAAAAAUUCUAAAUACCCUAACAUCUUCAUUCCAUGUUCAUGUCAAGCACCCGUCUUCAAAUUCCCUCUCACUUAGCGCAAAAUACAGAUUGCUUUGCCUUGGUUAA
This is a non-coding RNA of Vicia faba (fava bean), 162 nucleotides long. NCBI's taxonomy places the organism in Eukaryota, Viridiplantae, Streptophyta, Magnoliopsida, Fabales, Fabaceae. The record is from the annotation of a GenBank genome assembly.